UCUUCCUCUCUGAAAUAAAUACAUAAAUCUUUUUAAAAAAAAAAUAAAGAAUAUGAGGGAAUGAAUCAUGUAGAAAUUUGAGAGGAAAAGUGUUCCAGAUAGGUAAUAGACAAGGCUCUGAGGUUAAAAAUAUGCCUGGAUUAUUUGAGGAAUCAGUUGAGGAGAACAGUGUGGGGAAGCAGAGUAAGUGAGGUAAUUGUGGUAGGAAAUGAGGUCAGAGAGCUAAGAAGGGGACAGUUGGUGAAGGGUCUCUGGCUUUACUCUGAGUAAAAGGAGAGCAUUGAAAGUUUUUACAUUGAGGAAUUUUACAUUUUUACAUUGAGGAAUAACACACUCAGCUUUCCCAAAAUAACUGAGUAAAUUUGAGGUUGUGGCUGUUUUCACUCAGGUGGGGAAUUCUUCAGAAACAACAGGUUCGUAUAUUAGAAGGAUGGACUCAGUUUGAUAUCCUUCAGGUUUUAGAAACCACGUGUUAACAUUUGGAGGAAAGGCAUGGGCCAAUUAUUAUUACAUUUGUGAGUGAUCAGUAAAGAAAAGGAGCUUGGUUAGAGUGAGAAGAGUAGAGAGAUGUUGGCAUUAUUUGAUGACCACCACCAUUUGAGGGAAGGCAGAAGAAGAGAUACUCCAUGAAAGAGAUCAAGAAAGCCCAGUAAGAUUCUGGAUAAACUUUUAAGAUUGCACCAAGAGAAUUUCUUGAUGGAUAUGGGUAUGAGAGGCAAGCAGUCAGAGCAUCUUGAGACUCUUGUCUACAACUAAUUUGAACUGACAGUAAAAGGCCCAUUUUAUUUAUUUAUUUUAUAUAUUUUUAUUUUUAAA
Long non-coding RNA from Lutra lutra (Eurasian river otter), 816 nucleotides. RefSeq lists it as uncharacterized. The transcript is spliced from 2 exons. The record is from RefSeq and is a predicted model, not a curated record. Lineage: Eukaryota; Metazoa; Chordata; Mammalia; Carnivora; Mustelidae.